CCAAUAGCGUAUAUUAAAGUUGUUGCAGUUAAAAAGCUCGUAGUUGAAUUUCGGGGUUCUACCGUUGGUCGGGCAAUUGUCUGUACUGGCGUGUGGAAUUUCUACCUUCUGGGGAACCAUCAUGUUAUUAAUUUAGCGUGGUGGGAAACCAGGACCUUUACCUUGAAAAAAUUAGAGUGUUCAAAGCAGGCUUACGUCUGAAUACAUUAGCAUGGAAUAAUAAAAUAGGACGGUGGUCCUGUUUUGUUGGUUUCUGAAUCACCGUAAUGAUUAAUAGGGAUAGUUGGGGGCAUUAGUAUUCAAUUGUCAGAGGUGAAAUUCUGGGAUUUAUUGAAGACUAACUUCUGCGAAAGCAUUUGCCAAGGAUGUUUUCAUUAAUCAAGAACGAAAGUUAGGGGAUCGAAGACGAUCAGAUACCGUCGUAGUCUUAACCAUAAACUAUGCCGACUAGGGAUCGGACGAUGUUAAUUUUUCUUGACUCGUUCGGCGCCUUACG
RNAcentral lists this ribosomal RNA (496 nucleotides) under uncultured Glomeromycotina. RNAcentral describes it as "partial small subunit ribosomal RNA". It matches the Rfam family "Eukaryotic small subunit ribosomal RNA", at positions 591 to 1092 of the family's 1831-position model. Lineage: Eukaryota; Fungi; Glomeromycota. The record is from RNAcentral.